UAUACAAUGAAGAGUUUGAUCCUGGCUCAGGAUGAACGCUAGCGGCAGGCUUAACACAUGCAAGUCGAGGGGUAACAUUGUAGCUUGCUACAGAUGACGACCGGCGCACGGGUGC
RNAcentral lists this ribosomal RNA (115 nucleotides) under Polaribacter sp. RNAcentral's name for it is "partial 16S ribosomal RNA". It matches the Rfam family "Bacterial small subunit ribosomal RNA", at positions 1 to 109 of the family's 1533-position model. Lineage: Bacteria; Pseudomonadati; Bacteroidota; Flavobacteriia; Flavobacteriales; Flavobacteriaceae. The record is from RNAcentral.